This 490-nucleotide ribosomal RNA is filed under the name uncultured bacterium. Its description in RNAcentral is "partial 16S ribosomal RNA". It matches the Rfam family "Bacterial small subunit ribosomal RNA", at positions 30 to 507 of the family's 1533-position model. The record is from RNAcentral.
AUUGAACGCUGGCGGCAUGCUUUACACAUGCAAGUCGAACGACAGCACGAAAGAGCUUGCUCUUUUGGUGGCGAGUGGCGCACGGGUGAGUCAUGCAUCGGAACGUACCGAGUAAUGGGGGAUAACUGUCCGAAAGGAUAGCUAAUACCGCAUACGCUUUGAGAAGGAAAGUGGGGGCUCUUCGGACCUCACGUUAUUCGAGCGGCCGAUGUCUGAUUAGCUAGUUGGUGGGGUAAAGGCCUACCAAGGCGACGAUCAGUAGCGGGUCUGAGAGGAUGAUCCGCCACACUGGGACUGAGACACGGUCCAGACUCCUACGGGAGGCAGCAGUGGGGAAUUUUGGACAAUGGGCGCAAGCCUGAUCCAGCCAUGCCGCGUGUCUGAAGAAGGCCUUCGGGUCGUAAAGGACUUUUGUUAGGGAAGAAAAGGAUAGUGUUUAUACCAUUAUCUGCUGACGGUACCUAAAGAAUAAGCACCGGCUAACUACGUG